Molecule: ribosomal RNA, 1743 nt
Filed under: Triticum aestivum (bread wheat)
Lineage: Eukaryota; Viridiplantae; Streptophyta; Magnoliopsida; Poales; Poaceae
Description: partial small subunit ribosomal RNA
Source: RNAcentral
CAGGCAUCCCACCCGCACGGCCUCGCCCUAGGGUUUCUCCGUCUCUCUCUCUCUCUCUCUCCCCCGUUUCUCUCCUCCCAAUCGAAUCGGAAUCCAUGGAGUCGUCGCGGUCGCGGAAACGCACGCGUCAAGAGUUGGACAGCGCCGGCGACCCGCCGCCGGAGCGGGAGGUAGCAAGGGGUGGCGCGUCGCCGCCUUGGCGGGAUGACGACCGCGACGGCCAUUACGUGUUUGAUCUCGGCGAGAACUUGACCCGUCGGUAUAAAAUCUUGAGCAAAAUGGGUGAAGGUACUUUUGGCCGAGUUUUGGAAUGCUGGGACCGUGAAACACGUGAAUAUGUUGCAAUAAAAGUUGUCAGAAGCAUCCGGAAGUACCGGGAUGCUGCAAUGAUUGAGAUCGAUGUGCUCAAUCGCCUUGCAGAAAAUGAGAGAUACAGAUCCCUCUGUGUCCAAAUUCAAAGAUGGUUUGACUAUCGCAACCAUAUAUGCAUUGUAUUUGAGAAGCUUGGGCCAAGCUUGUAUGAUUUUCUAAAGAGAAAUAGAUACCAACCUUUCCCUGUGGAACUUGUGCGGGAGUUUGGACGACAACUGUUGGAAUCUGUAGCAUAUAUGCACGAAUUACGCCUUAUUCACACUGAUCUGAAGCCAGAAAACAUACUCCUCGUAUCUUCCGAAUAUAUAAAGGUUCCAAGUUCCAAGAAGAAUUCACAAGAUGAGAUACACUUCAAGUGCUUGCCAAAGUCCAGUGCCAUAAAGCUGAUAGAUUUUGGUAGUACCGCCUUUGAUAAUCAGGAACAUACCUCGAUUGUUUCUACGAGGCAUUACAGGGCACCUGAAAUAAUCUUAGGCUUAGGCUGGAGUUUGCCAUGUGAUAUUUGGAGUGUUGGUUGCAUCCUCGUUGAGCUAUGCUCGGGGGAGGCAUUGUUUCAGACACAUGAGAACCUGGAACACCUAGCAAUGAUGGAGAGGGUUUUGGGACCCGUACCAGAGCACAUGAUACGGAAGGCUAGUUCAUCAGCUCAGAAAUAUUUUAGGCGAGGGACACGUCUAAAUUGGCCUGAAGGUGCUGUUACAAGAGAAAGCAUCAGAGCAGUCAGAAAACUACACCGGCUAAAGGACUUGGUUGCGAGAAAUGCUGACCAUUCGAAGGCAUCACUGGCGGACUUGCUAUAUGGUCUUUUAAGGUUUGAGCCUUCAGAGCGCCUAACUGCCCAAGAGGCUCUAGACCAUCCAUUCUUCCGAAUUCCAGGUCCAACAUGACAAUUGGAAGAUGCUUUGAUUCCGCCGCUCGCCAAGAACAAGGCCUGGAGAAGCAGCGGGCACAAAGCCGAGAGCAGAAUGCCUUUGGCUAAUCUCUAGCAUAAAGAUGAUGUAAGCCGAGCUAUGGCGCUUGCGGUGGUGGUGAUAAGCUGUUGUUCCAGUCGUUCAGGUGUAAUGUACAAUAGCAUUUUUCCUAGGGAGGUUAGUGUACUGGAUGCGACCUGUACAUUGUGAAGUUGCGGUGCACCACGGGUUGCCGUCUGAAUCCUGGUUUUGUAAUCGCACUACAAUGAUCACUGACCAAGGCAAGGCAGCCGUAAAGGAGGUGCUAGUAUUUUGCCUGCCUGUGCCAUGUUCUGUUUCUCGAGAAGUCUUGACAGGGCUGAGAGUCCCUGCAAAUUCAGACCAUGCUGUUGAAAGUUGAAAUUAAAUCAAGUUGUAGUAUGUUUUGAACUUAUCAAAAAACUGAAUUGUCGGAGACUUU